CCGGCGAAUUCACUAGUGAUGAUCNNCAGGCNUAACACAUGCAAGUCGAACGAGAUCUUCGGAUCUAGUGGCGCACGGGUGCGUAACGCGUGGGAAUCUGCCCUGNGGUUCGGAAUAACAGUUAGAAAUGACUGCUAAUACCGGAUGAAGUCUACGGACCAAAGAUUUAUCGCCCAGGGAUGAGCCCGCGUAGGAUUAGCUAGUUGGUGGGGUAAAGGCCUACCAAGGCGACGAUCCUUAGCUGGUCUGAGAGGAUGAUCAGCCACACUGGGACUGAGACACGGCCCAGACUCCUACGGGAGGCAGCAGUGGGGAAUAUUGGACAAUGGGGGCAACCCUGAUCCAGCAAUGCCGCGUGAGUGAUGAAGGCCUUCGGGUCGUAAAGCUCUUUUACCCGGGAUGAUAAUGACAGUACCGGGAGAAUAAGCCCCGGCUAACUCCGUG
This 444-nucleotide ribosomal RNA is filed under the name uncultured bacterium. RNAcentral describes it as "bacterial SSU rRNA". It matches the Rfam family "Bacterial small subunit ribosomal RNA", at positions 39 to 507 of the family's 1533-position model. The record is from RNAcentral.